This 485-nucleotide ribosomal RNA is filed under the name uncultured bacterium. Its description in RNAcentral is "partial 16S ribosomal RNA". It matches the Rfam family "Bacterial small subunit ribosomal RNA", at positions 28 to 507 of the family's 1533-position model. The record is from RNAcentral.
GAUGAACGCUAGCUACAGGCUUAACACAUGCAAGUCGAGGGGCAGCAUGACCUAGCAAUAGGUUGAUGGCGACCGGCGCACGGGUGAGUAACACGUAUCCAACCUGCCGAUUAUUCCGGGAUAGCCUUUCGAAAGAAAGAUUAAUACUGGAUAGCAUAACGAGAAGGCAUCUUCUUGUUAUUAAAGAAUUUCGAUAAUCGAUGGGGAUGCGUUCCAUUAGUUUGUUGGCGGGGUAACGGCCCACCAAGACAUCGAUGGAUAGGGGUUCUGAGAGGAAGGUCCCCCACAUUGGAACUGAGACACGGUCCACACUCCUACGGGAGGCAGCAGUGAGGAAUAUUGGUCAAUGGACGAGAGUCUGAACCAGCCAAGUAGCGUGAAGGAUGACUGCCCUAUGGGUUGUAAACUUCUUUUAUAUGGGAAUAAAGUGGGCCACGUGUGGCUUUUUGUAUGUACCAUACGAAUAAGGAUCGGCUAACUCCGUG